Long non-coding RNA from Protopterus annectens (West African lungfish), 138 nucleotides. RefSeq lists it as uncharacterized. Lineage: Eukaryota; Metazoa; Chordata; Ceratodontiformes; Protopteridae. The record is from RefSeq and is a predicted model, not a curated record. The transcript is spliced from 3 exons.
CAGAAAGUUUUGAAGAUGUUGCUGUUGAAUUUUCAAGGGAGGAGUGGGAGAUGCUGAGUGAAAAGGAGAAGAAGCUACACCAGAAAGUGAUGGUGCAGAACUUCGAUCACAUGAUAGAUGUUGGGUACAACAUCCCAG